Molecule: small RNA, 442 nt
Filed under: Arabidopsis thaliana (thale cress)
Lineage: Eukaryota; Viridiplantae; Streptophyta; Magnoliopsida; Brassicales; Brassicaceae
Description: putative long intergenic non-coding RNA
Source: RNAcentral
UUGAAAUAAACGGUUCUACCCUUCUAUCAUUAUGUAAAGAUAAAGAAUAAUAUAUUGUUUCCUUUGUUGGUGAUGGCGACGAUGGUGAGCUCCGAUAACGGCGACGAUGGUGAGCUCUGACAACAGCGACGAUGGUGAGCACCGAUAAUGGCGACGAUGGUGAGCUCCGACAACGGCGACGAUGGUAACCUCCGACAAUGUCGAUGAGCUCCGUUAAUAGUAACGACGAUGUGGGCAGCGGUGAAUCGUGAGAGUGAUGGCUCAUCUUCUCCCUCCUCUUAUCACUCACUGAUUUCUCCGAUCUUUGUUUUUAUCCAAUGAUCUCACAACUCUAAAAAAAUAGAGGUGAAUCGUUAUGUAGUGCUAAAUAAUGCAAUUUAAAAAUAAAUAUUUCCAGAUUACAUCUCAAAACAUUUAUCACUGUGAGUUUGAUUUUUGUGCU